Molecule: small nuclear RNA, 107 nt
Organism: Ursus americanus (American black bear)
Lineage: Eukaryota; Metazoa; Chordata; Mammalia; Carnivora; Ursidae
Source: Ensembl
UUGCUCACUUCAGCAGCACAUAUACUAAAACUGGAACGAUGCAGAGAAGAUUAGCAUGGCCCCUGUGCAAGGAUGAAAUGCAAAUUCAUGAAGCGUUCCAUAUUUUU